This 4222-nucleotide long non-coding RNA is filed under the name Panicum hallii. RNAcentral's name for it is "long non-coding RNA (PHAL_LNC000805)". The record is from RNAcentral. Lineage: Eukaryota; Viridiplantae; Streptophyta; Magnoliopsida; Poales; Poaceae.
CUGCGGCAGGCGGCCGCGGCUUGAGCCGAGCGGUGCGCGAGCGCGCGCGGGAGGCGGAUGCGGAGCGCGCGGAGCGGGGAGGUGCGGUGCAGGCGGGCCGCGGGAGCCGGAGGGGAGCGCGGCGCAGCCGUGCGGGGCGCGAGUGAGCGGUCCCACACGGGCGCGCGCGGCUCGUGGGCGUGCAGGCGCGCAAGCGCUGGUAGCAAGCGGAGCAAAGCUGGGGUGCUAGACUGGUGCGGUGCUGGAACAGGAGCAGAGCAGGGAGCUUGAGGAGGCUGGACAGCGCGGAGAGACCUGCGGCGCGGUAAGACCGGGGCGAACGCGUGUCCAACAGCCGGAAGAGGAGGAGCAGUUGCGCGGCACGCAAGACAAUGACGUACAGGUGUGCGUGUGAGGAUGCGGGACCGGCGGCGCGAAGUGGAACGGUCUGUGCGAGCUUGAGCGCGAAGCUCGCGGUGCUGGAACGCGCAGGCACACGUAUGUGGAGGUGUCGACGAGGCUGUCGACGAUGACGCAGGAGCGGAGCUCAGGGCUCGCGAUGCCGCGGCGCGACGGCUCGGCCCGGACCCGCACGGGGAAAACAAUGGAGCCGCGCGUGAAGGACGUCGGAGAUCGUUGAGGAGGAAGCCACGGACGAAGUCAAGCGGCACUGCGAACUGCUCGUGGAGAACUGAGGUGGCCUGGCACGGACGGCAGCGGAAGGUGUGAUCCUGAUGCAGGCAGGCCUCGGUCCUCGUGGAGGCAGAGGAACGGUUAUGGCGUGACGAGCCAGAAAGAAAGGCGGCGAAGCGGACGUGGUGACCGGAUGCAACGAGCUCGGAGGAGCCACGCACGGCGAGCUCCCUCCACCCAUGCAGAGGCCGAAGCAAAAGCAGCGCGACACGGGACUGACGGCCAACUCAGUUCGUUUCCGCAGGCGCCUGCGCGUGCAAGGCAAUAGACCACGCGCGAGCAGGUUAAGAGCCAGUGGUGUGGGAGCAGUACAAGAAUAGCGCGCAGGAGAUGCGACCAGACACGGUGAUCCUGCAGGAGGCUACGCGGGUAUGCCGGAUGUGUUUCAGCAACACACGUGCGUGAGCAGAGAAGGCUCAGCUCGUGAGUAGGAGGAUCUUGAGGUUCGCGGAGGAGUUGGCAUAGCGAACCCAUCCGGCCCUAUCGUUUCAUCCCAGGGAUCCACGGCAACCAUUUCUGGCGAACUCCUUCGUUAUCCACGGAAUCUCGUCAUCAUCGAGCUUUUCUCUUCGUCGAUCCUGUUCGCCACGGGAAAUGACUUUUCACCCGUUCUUCUCCAUAACCAAGGCUACCCCAAGGUUUGCCCUGAUCCACUGAAUCUUCCUAGUGCCGGCGACCCCUUUGCCGGAACAUCGUCGUUAUCUUCCUGUUCUCUGUUUUUCCCCGACCAGGGACUUAAUUGCUUCAAUUUAGAAAGUUCUAGGGUGUUUUCUAUAAGAUUUCCAGAACUUUCUUUAUUUCAAAUCAAUGAACGUUUACAAGUUUUAUGUUAUGAUCUUGAAUUGGAAUCUUUGAUUUGUGAUCUAGAUUGAAUACUAGGAAAUGAAUGCUUUAUUUUAUACCUUGAAUCGUAUACAUGUAUUGUAGCUAAAGGGUUAAUCAUAGGAUAAAUGUCUUAGGCAGAAAGGUGUGAGGUCUAGUUAAUCCUUUCACACGAGUGUUCCUAUCUCUGCCAUCAAGACAUUGUCCUUGUCUUGAUUUCAGUCUUCUUAAGAUCCUUUUCAUAUAAGAAUCUUUGAUAGUUCAUGUGCAUCUGUUGCUUAGCCAAUACAUCUUGGUAGCUAUACUUCAGUAUCGGCUGUCAGCUCAGCUGCUAAGCAUCGUUUAUUUUAAGUCUAAGAUGUUUUUGUGUAACAGCUGUCAGCCGAUGCACUUCUUUUGAUAUGCUUCUACCAUCGACUGGUUAAUUGAUACGGUUGUUAUCUUUCUAAUAUCGGCUACUGCCGAUACAACUCUUUGUUUUGUCCUACAUCGGCUGCACAUAGUCGAUGUAUUGGAGAUGCACACACGAUAUUAAGAUUCUUACUAUCGACCGAUCCAAGCCGAUUUUGGUUGCUUUUCCAUAUCGGUUAAACACGGCCGAUCAAUCCUUAGUUUCCCCAUCCUUAUCCACAUACUUCUAUCAGUCGAUUUAUCGACUGAGAGAUCGGCUAUAUAUCUAUCGGUCAUAUACCCUUAACCACACUCCAUUCGGCUAUACGUCACCCAAUAGUUGUGCUGACGUAAUCGAGUCGAUACAACCACACCUAGUUACUUAGGAUAACACUUAAGCACAUCUCAGUUAAGACAACUGCUUUAGGAAUCACCCCUCUGUUGAGGUAAUCAAUGCUUUCAUCGAUCGUCUAGAAACCCGAUGCACUCAUCAAUCGGCUAAACCCCUGUUGUUCCAAUCGGCUCUGUUGUAAUCUUCAACGAGCAGCCGAUUCUAAUUAGUUAUUCCUCUAAAGCUCUGUCUAAGUUUAGUUUUAGAUCUUUUUGGUUGUUAGGUGAGUAGUAUGUUAAAUGAGUGUUGGAUUGCAACUUUAUUGUGAAGUAAGAUAGUUUUAUAUGCACACUUUGAAUGUAAUGUUGCAUUGCAUAUAGAUACGACUACUUCUGCAAAUGGUACCUACAAGAUCUCCCCGGAGUCUGCAGAGGAUGUUUCUGAAGACCAAGUCAACAUCACCAACGGAUUAACUGAAGCCCCGAACCAAAUUCGGAAGAUAAUAAUACUAACAUCCCUGACUUCAGCCCCACCAGUAAAGGCAAGCCCCGGACAUAUCCCAUUACUUUAUUUACACUACAAUCUACGUCUAUUUAUAUUAUAUCUUGCAUUAAGUCUAGGAGUUGAAGUGAAACCCUAGUUGCAUGAGAUCUUAGGAAUCCAAUGUAUUGCACCCGAGUCCUUAUCGUUUAGAUGCUCUGCUAAAUAGGACCGGUAAAAGUCGGGUGAUUUCCUAUCACUCGCGCGAUAUAGGAGUUGCUUGUUUACAAUUCUGUAACCACUAUAAGGUUGACGGACAGGGUCAUGUACUGUAUCAUGACCUGGAGUUUUACCCUGUCUGUUUUGACUAAAGCUGAUAAGGUCGCAGCAUGUGGUAGUGGUGUCUAAGCGUUUGAAAGUACAAGCCACAUACCGCGAAAUAUGGUAAGCGGUAAGCCUAGUACCCGAAUGGCCCGGCAAAUGGACUUGUCUCCACCACUCGACCUUUUAUUUUAUGUUUACACGCACCGACGUGUGGGAGUACGUUCUGCAUGGCAGACAGGAAUAUGGGUUUUGUAGUCGUGCUACAGACGUAUGUCCUGCACACAUAGGGUGUGCGUACGGUCCUGCAGUCGCUUGUGGUGGCCCUGAUCCAUAACCCGGAAUAUGAGGGAAAUGGUUGCUUCGGAAUGCCCUGUUGGUAUUCCAAGCGUGUGAGUUAGGUUUACCUUGCAAGGUUAAAUUCGAUUCGGAUCGUCCGCCUCUCACGAGGAUUGAGACUGCUUAUCCCUUUUACCACAGAGAGUAAAAAGUGAAAUUGUUGAUAAAGUAAUCUUGAUGAAUGAUAAUUUCUAUCUUGCUUGUUUAGUAUAGGUGCUUACCUAGAUGGCUAAUCAAACUAGAAUCUGAAAGCUAAAAUUUGAAAGUAGUUUAUACUCUUUGUUGCUUUUCAGCUGAAAAUAAACCCAGGACCUUUACAAUGCCUCCAUGAGUCUAGUUAUGGGCUAAAGUAUAUCCAAUCCCGGGUAAGCCUUGCUGAGUAUUAGUAUACUCAGCCUUGCUAGUUUUAUGUUUUUCAGGUGAAGCCUUUGAAGACCCUACUCUUUCCCUGUCAUGGCCCUGUGCUCUUCCAGAAGAUUGGUCCGUGGAAUGGGAUCCGUCCUCGGCCAACAUUGAUGAUAUCGAGUGAUGUCGUGCCAAGGCUUAGCAUGACAUCCGGCUUGACGACAUGCUAUAAAUCAUCGCGUAUGUUUUCCGCUGCUAAAAACCAUAACUUUAACAGUUUGUAAUGUUUUCUCUAAAUUUCAAACUUUGCACUAAUGUUAGAAACUCUUAUAAUGUAAUUCCUUGUGAUGUAAAAUAUGAUGGUGAUUGUAUCUCUGGACUCACCUUCGUGUGAGGUAACCUUAUUGAUCCUAUAUUCGGUGGUUUAUCAGGACGUUACCCGACAGGCCAAGGGAUUAUACCGUUUGAAGCACGUUGGAGCCCUCGGGAGUGGACUCGCGUACUUGAGCCAGUAUAAUUUAG